UGGGUGUGAUGUGUUCAUUAUCUCCUAUCUUAUCUAAUAAGAUAUGUUUGUUAUCUCCUAUUUUAUCUAGCGAGAUAUGUUUGUUAUUUUUUUCUUAUUUGCUCAUGAUGGGUUGUCACAUGGAUUCUGAAUAUUUUUUUAGCUGGUGUUAAUCGUACAAUUAUAUCAGACAUAAAAGCUUUCUGAAAUGUCAGCUCAGAUCGAUCUCAAAGAUAUCUCG
This 220-nucleotide long non-coding RNA is filed under the name Elaeis guineensis (African oil palm). Its description in RNAcentral is "long non-coding RNA (EGUI_LNC038659)". Lineage: Eukaryota; Viridiplantae; Streptophyta; Magnoliopsida; Arecales; Arecaceae. The record is from RNAcentral.